UGGUGGACUGGGAUAACUCCGGGAAACCGGAGCUAAUACCGGAAAAAAUCUUGAACCGCAUGGUUCAAGUUGGAAAGACGGUUUCGGCUGUCACUUACAGAUGGGCCCGCGGCGCAUUAGCUAGUUGGUGAGGUAAUGGCUCACCAAGGCAACGAUGCGUAGCCGACCUGAGAGGGUGAUCGGCCACACUGGGACUGAGACACGGCCCAGACUCCUACGGGAGGCAGCAGUAGGGAAUCUUCCGCAAUGGACGAAAGUCUGACGGAGCAACGCCGCGUGAGUGAUGAAGGUUUUCGGAUCGUAAAACUCUGUUGUUAGGGAAGAACAAGUGCGAGAGUAACUGCUCGCACCUUGACGGUACCUAACCAUAAAGCCACGGCUAACUACGUGCCAGCAGCCGCGGUAAUACGUAGGUGGCAAGCGUUGUCCGGAAUUAUUGGGCGUAAAGCGCGCGCAGGCGGUUUCUUAAGUCUGAUGUGAAAGCCCCCGGCUCAACCGGGGAGGGUCAUUGGAAACUGGGAAACUUGAGUGCAGAAGAGGAGAGUGGAAUUCCACGUGUAGCGGUGAAAUGCGUAGAGAUGUGGGAGGAACACCAGUGGC
This 600-nucleotide ribosomal RNA is filed under the name Metabacillus idriensis. Its description in RNAcentral is "bacterial SSU rRNA". It matches the Rfam family "Bacterial small subunit ribosomal RNA", at positions 131 to 716 of the family's 1533-position model. Lineage: Bacteria; Bacillati; Bacillota; Bacilli; Caryophanales; Bacillaceae. The record is from RNAcentral.